GUGGGGAAUAUUGGACAAUGGGCGCAAGCCUGAUCCAGCCAUGCCGCGUGAGUGAUGAAGGCCUUAGGGUUGUAAAGCUCUUUCAGUGGGGACGAUAAUGACGGUACCCACAGAAGAAGCCCCGGCUAACUUCGUGCCAGCAGCCGCGGUAAUACGAAGGGGGCUAGCGUUGUUCGGAUUUACUGGGCGUAAAGCGCACGUAGGCGGGUCGUUAAGUCGGGGGUGAAAUCCUGGAGCUCAACUCCAGAACUGCCUUCGAUACUGGCGACCUAGAGUCCGGAAGAGGUGAGUGGAACUCCUAGUGUAGAGGUGGAAUUCGUAGAUAUUAGGAAGAACACCAGUGGCGAAGGCGGCUCACUGGUCCGGUACUGACGCUGAGGUGCGAAAGCGUGGGGAGCAAACAGGAUUAGAUACCCGUGUAGUCC
RNAcentral lists this ribosomal RNA (425 nucleotides) under uncultured bacterium. Its description in RNAcentral is "partial 16S ribosomal RNA". It matches the Rfam family "Bacterial small subunit ribosomal RNA", at positions 354 to 796 of the family's 1533-position model. The record is from RNAcentral.